GCCGAUGAUGAUAUAAUCCUGUCUUCGAGGUGCAGUGGAGCUGAGACCCUGUUUAUCAGGGAGAACCCCUUGGCAGAAACUGCAAUUUCUAUGAAGCUAUAUGGAUUUUUACUGAGGC
Molecule: small nucleolar RNA, 118 nt
Organism: Arabidopsis lyrata subsp. lyrata
Lineage: Eukaryota; Viridiplantae; Streptophyta; Magnoliopsida; Brassicales; Brassicaceae
Rfam family: Small nucleolar RNA Z278
About the family: snoZ278 is a C/D box small nucleolar RNA. Its methylation guide targets have not been reported.
Source: Rfam